CCUACGGGUGGCAGCAGUGGGGAAUAUUGCACAAUGGGGGAAACCCUGAUGCAGCGACGCCGCGUGAAGGAAGAAGUAUUUCGGUAUGUAAACUUCUAUCAGCAGGGAAGAAAAUGACGGUACCUGACUAAGAAGCCCCGGCUAACUACGUGCAAGCAGCCGCGGUAAUAGGUAGGGGGCAAGCGUUAUCCGGAUUUACUGGGGGUAAAGGGAGCGUAGGCGGUGCAACAAGUCAGAAGUGAAAGCCCGGGGCGAAACUCCGGGACUGCUUUUGAUACUGUUAAACUAGAUUGCAGGAGAGGUAAGUGGAAUUCCUGGUGUAGCGGUGAAAUGCUUAGAUAUUAGGAGGAACACCAGUGGCGAAGGCAGCUUACUGAACUGUAAAUGACGCUGAGGCUCGAAAGCGUGGGGAGCAAACAGGAUUAGAUACCCGAGUAGUC
This 440-nucleotide ribosomal RNA is filed under the name uncultured bacterium. RNAcentral's name for it is "partial 16S ribosomal RNA". It matches the Rfam family "Bacterial small subunit ribosomal RNA", at positions 338 to 795 of the family's 1533-position model. The record is from RNAcentral.